GAUGAACGCUAGCGGCAGGCUUAACACAUGCAAGUCGAGGGGCAGCAUGACGGAACUUUCGGGUUCUGUUGAUGGCGACCGGCGCAAGGGUGCGUAACGCGUGAGCAACUUGCCCGUUUCUGGGGCAUAACCGGUGGAAACGCCGACUAAUUCCCCAUAGUAUCUUUUAGAGGCAUCUCUUUAAGAUUAAAGAAUUUCGGAAACGGAUAGGCUCGCGUGACAUUAGCUAGAUGGCGGGGUAACGGCCCACCAUGGCGACGACGUCUAGGGGUUCUGAGAGGAAGGUCCCCCACACUGGGACUGGGACACGGUCCAG
Molecule: ribosomal RNA, 316 nt
Filed under: uncultured bacterium
Lineage: Bacteria
Description: bacterial SSU rRNA
Rfam family: Bacterial small subunit ribosomal RNA
Source: RNAcentral